Dreissena polymorpha is the source of this 122-nucleotide long non-coding RNA. RefSeq lists it as uncharacterized. The transcript is spliced from 3 exons. The record is from RefSeq and is a predicted model, not a curated record. Lineage: Eukaryota; Metazoa; Mollusca; Bivalvia; Myida; Dreissenidae.
UUGUGGGAAUGUUUUGGUUAAAGUUACCGGUGGUUAAAUUCCACUAUGCGCGGUUAGGUUACUUUGCGGUAUAUCGUGUUUAUACAAUCGAGUUACCUUGAAGGUUACUAAACCUGAAUAAC